CUGAAUUCAGCGGCGGACGGGUGAGUAAUGCCUAGGAAUCUGCCUGGUAGUGGGGGACAACGUUUCGAAAGGAACGCUAAUACCGCAUACGUCCUACGGGAGAAAGCAGGGGACCUUCGGGCCUUGCGCUAUCAGAUGAGCCUAGGUCGGAUUAGCUAGUUGGUGAGGUAAUGGCUCACCAAGGCGACGAUCCGUAACUGGUCUGAGAGGAUGAUCAGUCACACUGGAACUGAGACACGGUCCAGACUCCUACGGGAGGCAGCAGUGGGGAAUAUUGGACAAUGGGCGAAAGCCUGAUCCAGCCAUGCCGCGUGUGUGAAGAAGGUCUUCGGAUUGUAAAGCACUUUAAGUUGGGAGGAAGGGCAUUAACCUAAUACGUUAGUGUUUUGACGUUACCGACAGAAUAAGCACCGGCUAACUCUGUGCCAGCAGCCGCGGUAAUACAGAGGGUGCAAGCGUUAAUCGGAAUUACUGGGCGUAAAGCGCGCGUAGGUGGUUUGUUAAGUUGGAUGUGAAAUCCCCGGGCUCAACCUGGGA
RNAcentral lists this ribosomal RNA (537 nucleotides) under uncultured Pseudomonas sp. RNAcentral's name for it is "bacterial SSU rRNA". It matches the Rfam family "Bacterial small subunit ribosomal RNA", at positions 86 to 619 of the family's 1533-position model. Lineage: Bacteria; Pseudomonadati; Pseudomonadota; Gammaproteobacteria; Pseudomonadales; Pseudomonadaceae. The record is from RNAcentral.